Non-coding RNA from Gorilla gorilla gorilla (western lowland gorilla), 148 nucleotides. It matches the Rfam family "Metazoan signal recognition particle RNA". Rfam says of the family: The signal recognition particle (SRP) is a universally conserved ribonucleoprotein. It is involved in the co-translational targeting of proteins to membranes. The eukaryotic SRP consists of a 300-nucleotide 7S RNA and six proteins: SRPs 72, 68, 54, 19, 14, and 9. The record is from Rfam. NCBI's taxonomy places the organism in Eukaryota, Metazoa, Chordata, Mammalia, Primates, Hominidae.
GCCGGAUGUGGUGGCAUGCAUCUGUAGUCCCAGCUACUUGGGAUGCUGAGGUGGGAGGAUCACUUGAACCCAGGAGUUCGAGGCUGCAGUGAUUUAUGAUAGUGCCACUGCACUCCAGCCUGGGCAACAAAGUGAGACCCCAUCUCUU